CCUACGGGUGGCAGCAGUGAGGAAUAUUGGUCAAUGGACGCAAGUCUGAACCAGCCAUGCCGCGUGCAGGAUGACGGCUCUAUGAGUUGUAAACUGCUUUUGUACGAGGGUAAACCCCGAUACGUGUAUCGGGUUGAAAGUAUCGUACGAAUAAGGAUCGGCUAACUCCGUGCCAGCAGCCGCGGUAAUACGGAGGAUCCGAGCGUUAUCCGGAUUUAUUGGGUUUAAAGGGUGCGUAGGCGGUUUGAUAAGUUAGAGGUGAAAUGUCGGGGCUCAACCCCGAAACUGCCUCUAAUACUGUUUGACUAGAGAAUAGUUGCGGUAGGCGGAAUGUAUGGUGUAGCGGUGAAAUGCUUAGAGAUCAUACAGAACACCGAUUGCGAAGGCAGCUUACCAAACUAUAUCUGACGUUGAGGCACGAAAGCGUGGGGAGCAAACAGGAUUAGAUACCCCUGUAGUC
This 460-nucleotide ribosomal RNA is filed under the name uncultured bacterium. RNAcentral describes it as "partial 16S ribosomal RNA". It matches the Rfam family "Bacterial small subunit ribosomal RNA", at positions 338 to 795 of the family's 1533-position model. The record is from RNAcentral.